This 459-nucleotide ribosomal RNA is filed under the name uncultured bacterium. RNAcentral's name for it is "partial 16S ribosomal RNA". It matches the Rfam family "Bacterial small subunit ribosomal RNA", at positions 338 to 795 of the family's 1533-position model. The record is from RNAcentral.
CCUACGGGAGGCAGCAGUGAGGAAUAUUGGUCAAUGGCCGGAAGGCUGAACCAGCCAAGCCGCGUGAAGGACGAAGGUGCCAAGCAUUGUAAACUUCUUUUGUCAAGGGACAAAAUCAGGCUCGAGAGCCUUACCGAGUGUACUUGAAGAAAAAGCAUCGGCUAACUCCGUGCCAGCAGCCGCGGUAAUACGGAGGAUGCGAGCGUUAUCCGGAUUUAUUGGGUUUAAAGGGUGCGCAGGCGGAGGCACAAGUCAGCGGUAAAAUCGCGGGGCUCAACCCCGCUCCGCCGUUGAAACUGUGGCCCUGGAGUGCGCGAAGGGUAGGCGGAAUGCGUGGUGUAGCGGGGAAAUGCAUAGAUAUCACGCAGAACUCCGAUCGCGAAGGCAGCCUACCGGCGCGCAACUGACGCUCAUGCACGAAAGCGUGGGUAUCGAACAGGAUUAGAUACCCUAGUAGUC